CCCAGACUCCUACGGGAGGCAGCAGUGGGGGAUAUUGCACAAUGGGGGCAACCCUGAUGCAGCGACGCCGCGUGAGCGAUGGAGUACUUCGGUAUGUAAAGCUCUGUCAGCAGGGAAGAGAAUGACGGUACCUGACCAAGAAGCCCCGGCUAAAUACGUGCCAGCAGCCGCGGUAAUACGUAGGGGGCGAGCGUUAUCCGGAAUUACUGGGUGUAAAGGGAGCGUAGACGGCGAGGUAAGCCUGAAGUGGAAGCCCGCGGCCCAACCGCGGAACUGCUUUGGGAACUGUUUUGCUGGAGUAUGGGAGGGGUAAGCGGAAUUCCUGGUGUAGCGGUGAAAUGCGUAGAUAUCAGGAGGAACACCGGUGGCGAAGGCGGCUUACUGGACCAUAACUGACGUUGAGGCUCGAAAGCGUGGGGAGCGAACAGGAUUAGAUACCCUCGUAC
This 446-nucleotide ribosomal RNA is filed under the name uncultured bacterium. RNAcentral's name for it is "bacterial SSU rRNA". It matches the Rfam family "Bacterial small subunit ribosomal RNA", at positions 330 to 793 of the family's 1533-position model. The record is from RNAcentral.